AGUGGGGAAUAUUGGACAAUGGGCGAAAGCCUGAUCCAGCAAUGCCGCGUGAGUGAUGAAGGCCUUAGGGUUGUAAAGCUCUUUUACCAGGGAUGAUAAUGACAGUACCUGGAGAAUAAGCUCCGGCUAACUCCGUGCCAGCAGCCGCGGUAAUACGGAGGGAGCUAGCGUUGUUCGGAAUUACUGGGCGUAAAGCGCGCGUAGGCGGCUCAGCAAGUCAGGGGUGAAAUCCCGGGGCUCAACCCCGGAACUGCCCUUGAAACUGCUAGGCUAGAAUCCUGGAGAGGCGAGUGGAAUUCCGAGUGUAGAGGUGAAAUUCGUAGAUAUUCGGAAGAACACCAGUGGCGAAGGCGACUCGCUGGACAGGUAUUGACGCUGAGGUGCGAAAGCGUGGGGAGCAAA
RNAcentral lists this ribosomal RNA (402 nucleotides) under uncultured Altererythrobacter sp. RNAcentral describes it as "bacterial SSU rRNA". It matches the Rfam family "Bacterial small subunit ribosomal RNA", at positions 353 to 772 of the family's 1533-position model. Lineage: Bacteria; Pseudomonadati; Pseudomonadota; Alphaproteobacteria; Sphingomonadales; Erythrobacteraceae. The record is from RNAcentral.